RNAcentral lists this unclassified non-coding RNA (263 nucleotides) under plant metagenome. RNAcentral describes it as "partial contains small subunit ribosomal RNA, internal transcribed spacer 1, and 5.8S ribosomal RNA". The record is from RNAcentral.
UUUCCGUAGGUGAACCUGCGGAAGGAUCAUUAUUGUAUAACCGAGGUGCGAGGGCUGUCGCUGACCCGAAAGGUCGUGCACGCCCGAGUGCCCUCACACACAUCCAACUCACCCCUAUGUGCACCACCGCGUGGGUCCCCCUUUGGCUUGUUCGGAGGGGGGCUUACGUUUUCACACAAACUUUGUAUGCAGUGUAGAAUGUAUUUUUUGUUUUUGCGAUCACGCAAUCAAUACAACUUUCAACAACGGAUCUCUUGGCUCUC